AGUACAGUGGCAGACGGGUGAGUAACACGUUAUCCCCUACCCUUGAGUGGGGAAUAACACCGCGAAAGCGGUGCUAAUACCGCAUAACAUCUUUGAGUUGCAUGACUUAGAGAUCAAAAGCGAAAGUUGCUUAAGGAGGGGUUCGCGGCUGAUUAGCUAGUUGGUGAGGUAACGGCCCACCAAGGCGACGAUCAGUAGCCGGCCUGAGAGGGCGAACGGCCACACUGGAACUGAGACACGGUCCAGACUCCUACGGGAGGCAGCAGUGGGACUCCUACGGGAGGCAGCAGUGGGACUCCUACGGGAGGCAGCAGUGGG
Molecule: small RNA, 318 nt
Filed under: uncultured bacterium
Lineage: Bacteria
Description: bacterial SSU rRNA
Rfam family: Bacterial small subunit ribosomal RNA (bases 1-270)
Source: RNAcentral